UCCGUACUAAAAUGCGAAAUCGGUGGGUGCGAAACGUCAACAGAACGUCAACAGACGACGCCAUUAACAUACUUGCGUCACAAAAAUCUACUCGUCAAGAUAAAAACACCUUGCCUUCGAGUUAGUUUAUCCUAGUUUCUGUUUUGUAUAUAAUUCGUUAAAUUAAAAGGAUAUUACAGUUUUGUGUAUUUACCUAUUGUAUUCAUGAUUUUGAUUUGUGAUUCACGUUAUUUGCCAUUCAAUCACCGCAAUACUUCUUAAACUUGAUAAUUAAAGUCAUGGGAGAUGUCCACUUCAUGAAACUUGCUUUGUCGUUUUGCUGAAGUAAGCUGUCUUUCUGCAAAGAAAUAAAUGAGAGUAAAGAAAAAACUUCCCAAUGUGAGGUGACAUGAUGUUUCACCUGAUACAUUGUAACCUACAUUCUCUGAGGUAAUACAUCUACUGUUUCUGAGGUGACGGAAAAAUUAUGCAAGUGUUUUCUUUUCUAAUCGCUUUUCUUGUUCAAAGCAAUAAUUUGUUAUCCCUGUCAUAGAAAACCUUGGUGGAAUUCUGAGAGUGGUAAUAGUUUCAUAGCUCAUGCUGCCCAAGUAAUAGUGUGGAGCAGGCGUAUCUGUGCUUUACUUUUGCUACAAGCGCUAGAAGAUUGGCAUCACAAAUCAAAUCUUUGUAUUUUCAAUCUACAAUUCAGGUGGAUACAAUAUGUGUGCAUGUGCGCAUGGAAAGAACGCUCGUGUCGAUGACUUUGUCAACGGGGGAAAAAUGUUAAGCUUAAUUUGCUCGAUAAUAGAAUUUGUUUUAAUCUUUUCUUCUUUUAUUAUCAUUAGGUGGUGUAGGCUGAUUUAUUUCAUACCUCGGUUGAAUCACUCAUCAGCCCGUCCCAAGACGCAUAGCUGACUUUUGACUUCAAUUUUUCAUAAUUUAAACCGAAAUAAAGUAGCGGCUGAAGAAAUGAAAUUUAAUUGCUCCCCCCUUUCAAUGUCUUAAAUAAAAUAAUCCCACAGCGCCCAGCGGGGUACAUUAACACAUUGUUACGUCGUCGACGUUCUCUAUGUCAUUCGAUCAAUCUGUUUCUCUUAGCCGGAAUUUCUCUCAACAGUUGUUCGCCGAGGAAAAUCGGCUGACCAAGUCAAAUGGAAAAAACUAUCAGCCGAUAGCAGCCCGGCGUCUAAAUAUAUAUAGCUAUUCGAUUGAAAUUUAUUGAAAAUGCCACCCAGCUAAAACGUGCUGAAAGCUUCUUCCGCCUCUAUUCCACAAAGACUUAAUUGGAGAUUUCUCAUUCAAGAGCUCAUCCGAGGGACCCCCGUGCUCUUGAAGAAACAAGAGUAAUCGAGUCGACUAAAUAAAUUUAAUUUGAUAAGACUGUUUUCCCAUGAAAUACAAACAUUUUAUUUUCAAAA
This is a long non-coding RNA of Daphnia pulex (common water flea), 1397 nucleotides long. RefSeq lists it as uncharacterized. The record is from RefSeq and is a predicted model, not a curated record. Lineage: Eukaryota; Metazoa; Arthropoda; Branchiopoda; Diplostraca; Daphniidae. The transcript is spliced from 4 exons.